UAGGGAAUCUUCCGCAAUGGGCGAAAGCCUGACGGAGCAACGCCGCGUGAGUGAAGAAGGAUUUCGGUUCGUAAAGCUCUGUUGUUAGGGAAGAAUGAUUGUAUAGUAACUAUAUACAGUAGAGACGGUACCUAACCAGAAAGCCACGGCUAACUACGUGCCAGCAGCCGCGGUAAUACGUAGGUGGCAAGCGUUGUCCGGAAUUAUUGGGCGUAAAGCGCGCGCAGGUGGUUUAAUAAGUCUGAUGUGAAAGCCCACGGCUCAACCGUGGAGGGUCAUUGGAAACUGUUAAACUUGAGUGCAGGAGAGAAAAGUGGAAUUCCUAGUGUAGCGGUGAAAUGCGUAGAGAUUAGGAGGAACACCAGUGGCGAAGGCGGCUUUUUGGCCUGUAACUGACACUGAGGCGCGAAAGCGUGGGGAGCAAACAGGAUUAGAUACCCUGGUAGUCCACGCCGUAAACGAUGAGUGCUAAGUGUUGGUCUCAUAAGAGAUCAGUGCUGCAGCUAACGCAUUAAGCACUCCGCCUGGGGAGUACGACCGCAAGGUU
This 547-nucleotide ribosomal RNA is filed under the name uncultured bacterium. RNAcentral's name for it is "bacterial SSU rRNA". It matches the Rfam family "Bacterial small subunit ribosomal RNA", at positions 355 to 895 of the family's 1533-position model. The record is from RNAcentral.